Molecule: unclassified non-coding RNA, 319 nt
Filed under: Hevea brasiliensis (rubber tree)
Lineage: Eukaryota; Viridiplantae; Streptophyta; Magnoliopsida; Malpighiales; Euphorbiaceae
Source: RNAcentral
UACAUACAAGAGAACUUCACCAUAUGCUUACCAACAUCUUCCAUCCUUAUCCCAAGAUUGAUUUCCAGAAUUCUAUCUCCUCUCUGGCCCAAUUUCCAUAGCCAUCAUAAUCAGUAUGCCUUGCAAAGCACAGCCAUAGUAUCUUGUAGAGGCAGCACCUGUCUAAUCCAUGGUUGUGUCCCACAAUAAGUGCCUGCCACAAUCCGAAGGAAUACUAAUAGGACCCAUUAGUCAAUUUCAAUGUUCAUAACGAAGGCUAACUGUUUGCUUGCUUUGAAUUUUAACUUUCAAAAAUUCUUACCACACAUGGCACCAUCCG